This 599-nucleotide ribosomal RNA is filed under the name Ruegeria conchae. Its description in RNAcentral is "bacterial SSU rRNA". It matches the Rfam family "Bacterial small subunit ribosomal RNA", at positions 100 to 735 of the family's 1533-position model. The record is from RNAcentral. Lineage: Bacteria; Pseudomonadati; Pseudomonadota; Alphaproteobacteria; Rhodobacterales; Roseobacteraceae.
GACGGGUUAGUAACGCGUGGGAAUAUACCCUUUGGUACGGAAUAGCCUCUGGAAACGGAGAGUAAUACCGUAUGUGCCCUUCGGGGGAAAGAUUUAUCGCCAAAGGAUUAGCCCGCGUUAGAUUAGGUAGUUGGUGGGGUAAUGGCCUACCAAGCCUACGAUCUAUAGCUGGUUUUAGAGGAUGAUCAGCAACACUGGGACUGAGACACGGCCCAGACUCCUACGGGAGGCAGCAGUGGGGAAUCUUGGACAAUGGGGGCAACCCUGAUCCAGCCAUGCCGCGUGAGUGAUGAAGGCCUUAGGGUCGUAAAGCUCUUUCGCCUGUGAAGAUAAUGACGGUAGCAGGUAAAGAAACCCCGGCUAACUCCGUGCCAGCAGCCGCGGUAAUACGGAGGGGGUUAGCGUUGUUCGGAAUUACUGGGCGUAAAGCGCACGUAGGCGGAUCGGAAAGUUGGGGGUGAAAUCCCGGGGCUCAACCCCGGAACUGCCUCCAAAACUAUCGGUCUAGAGUUCGAGAGAGGUGAGUGGAAUUCCGAGUGUAGAGGUGAAAUUCGUAGAUAUUCGGAGGAACACCAGUGGCGAAGGCGGCUCACUGGCUC